UCCCUGGUGAUCCAGUCCCUAAGAUUCUGCCCUUACAAUGCAGGGGCACAGGUUCAAUUCCCGGUCAGGGAA
Molecule: transfer RNA, 72 nt
Filed under: Bos taurus (domestic cattle)
Lineage: Eukaryota; Metazoa; Chordata; Mammalia; Artiodactyla; Bovidae
Also listed under: 5 other names
Rfam family: tRNA
About the family: Transfer RNA (tRNA) molecules are approximately 80 nucleotides in length. Their secondary structure includes four short double-helical elements and three loops (D, anti-codon, and T loops).
Source: Rfam by way of RNAcentral